RNAcentral lists this long non-coding RNA (822 nucleotides) under Olea europaea subsp. europaea. The record is from RNAcentral. Lineage: Eukaryota; Viridiplantae; Streptophyta; Magnoliopsida; Lamiales; Oleaceae.
CAAAGGUGUACUGGGAAGCCAAGGAUCGACUACCUCCUCGGGUAUAUGAAUAUCCUCUUUUGACACCUUUUUUUCUCUAUUCCUAUCCGUAAUCUGUUUAGUAUAAUCCUAUGUCUUUAAUUUCCAUUACUAGACUGUCAAGAUAGAUAUAAAUAUCGAGAGAGAUUUGGCCUACGCUCUUAAAGUUAAAGAAUGCCCACAAAUUUUGUUCUUACGUGGAAACAGGAUAUUGUAUAGGGAGAAAGGUGAAGACUAAACUCUUCAAUUGUUAUAUAAUAUAUACUCUCAUUUGUUAGCUCCAUUACUAACAAGUUCUUCACAAUAUGCAGAAACAAGAACAGCAGAUGAUUGCACAUUUUUUCUAUAACGCAAAAAAACCUUCGUGCAUUAAAGAUGAGGCUCUAUCAUCUCCGUCUUGAGUUCAAACGGCAGCAGCAUUGUAACCAUAUCUUGUGUCGUUGUGUCCUUAACUUGUACUCUGGCAUUUUAAGUUUUAUUUUUUGGUGAAUUUGUUCUAUGUUUUGUUUUGAUCGGAAUGGUUAGUAGGAUUUGGGCUUAAUCCUUCCUGAUGGAUUCACUGAUCUGAGAGUGGCAAAAACUCGAUGCAGUUGUAUGGUUUUUGGAUAAAAAAUAUGAACUCGAUCAGAAGCGUGUCUAUGUAGACCACUACUUAUAGACUUCAAUUUUAAGAUCAAAGGUGUAAUACUUUUUGUGAUGACAGUCUUUAUACAUCAUAUUAAAAAUUGAAAUAUGGUAGGGACAUUUUGUCAAACCUCAUAAAGUAGAAUCCUUGGGGUUAGGUCCACUCUUUUUACGACCUUU